RNAcentral lists this ribosomal RNA (253 nucleotides) under uncultured bacterium. Its description in RNAcentral is "partial 16S ribosomal RNA". It matches the Rfam family "Bacterial small subunit ribosomal RNA", at positions 524 to 776 of the family's 1533-position model. The record is from RNAcentral.
AACGUAGGACGCAAGCGUUAUCCGGAGUUACUGGGCGUAAAGCGCGGGCAGGCGGUCUUGCCAGUCUGAUGUGAAAUCUCCUCGCUCAACGGGGAGCAGCCAUUGGAAACUACAAGACUGGAGUCUGACAGAGGUAGGCGGAAUUCCGGGUGGAGUGGUGAAAUGCGUAGAGAUCCGGAGGAACACCAGAGGCGAAGGCGGCCUACUGGGCUGCACCUGACGCUGAGCCACGAAAGCCAGGGGAGCGAACGGG